UUGGCUCAGUGGGUUAAAGCGUCUGCCUGCGGCUUGGGCCAUGAUUCACAGUCUAAGCCUGAGAUCGAAUCCGCAGUCGGGAUUCUGGAGCCUGCUGAACCUUUGCCCCUCCCGUUUCCCCUCUCCCGGCGCGCUUUAGCUUUCGCUUUAGCUCGCACAACCUCCAACAAAGCACGCCGCACUUUCAGCGGGGACAUUUGCAGACCGAAGCCCCUUCAGCAAUGGCCCAGACGGGUGAGACACCACGGGGCGAAGCCACUUCGACACGGGGGACGAUGGCGAAGCCGCGGUGGCGUUCGGAGAACACGAUGAUGGGACGAUGAGGUUCUGCGAGUCAGGGAUUCAAAGGAGUGGCUUAUCUCUGCUGCACAUCUGAGCCCUCAGCUUGGAACACAGCCCACUGGAUGGCUGGGGCUGACUUGACAGUGGGUAGACAUUUUCGCUGGUACGUCUGAUGCUUAUAUGUCUCAGCUAGGAUCUCAGCUGGCACUGGGUGCAGGAGCACCUCGCUAUCACUUCUCCUUGAGGCCUGGUUUCUCUGACUGUGGAACCGGUACAGUCACACUGUUUGCGUAGGGACCGAGGGCUCCAAAAUGAGGGGCCCAAUGACAAAGCUGUAUCAUCUUUCAUGACCUAACCCAGUGGUUCUCAGUGAGAAUGAUUUUGUCCCCCAGGGGACUUUUGGCAAUGUCUGGAGACAUUUUUAGUUGUCACAACUGGUCAGGGCUCUACUGGCAGCUGAUGGGUAUAAGCCACGGAGGCUGCUACUAUCCCACGGUGCCUGGGACAGGGCCCCACAACAGAGCGUUGUCUGGUCUCAAGUAUCAGUAGUGUCAAGGGUGAUAAACUCUAACAUAAUCGUGGAAGUCACGCAACAUUAUUUCCUUUUUUUAAAAAAGAUUUUAUUUAUUUAUUCGACAGAGAGAGAGACAGCCAGCGAGAGAGGGAACACAAGCAGGGGGAGUGGGAGAGGAAGAAGCAGGCUCAUAGCAGAGGAGCCUGAUGUGGGGCUCGAUCCCAUAACGCUGGGAUCACGCCCUGAGCCGAAGGCAGACGCUUAACUGCUGUGCCACCCAGGCACCCCAUGCAACGUUAUUUCUAACAGAUUCUUUUAUAAGCAAUUCCCAGGCCCUCCCAUACUUAAUGGGGGAGGUGAAUUAGAGUCAACCUUUUGAGAAAUGGCAAAGUUCUCAAGACACGUGUGGGAUGGGAGGUACUGUUGUGGCCAUCUUUGGAAGACAGUCUGUCGCAGAGUCUCCCUGGGAUUUCUCUCUCUCUGUGAUUUUGUCGUACUCACCUUGUAGGUUGUGUGUUUUCUGCUCUUAGAAGCCAAGCUUAUUGAAUCCGCUUGUCAUCUUCCAGGUCUUCCAGAUCAGUGUUGCCAAUUCAAGGGACUUGGGUGCAAGAUGUGAUCACAUUGCUGAUUUUUAAUAUUCAAAAUAUCUAUACAAUAGCUAUGAGAGAGUAACGGACAAGCUUUCUUUGUUAUAGGUUUCCCCCAUCCUCAUUUUUUUCUUUUCACAUCAGUUGAAGAAAGAAGAGAUUUUUUUCCCUUAAGAUCUUUCAGAUAUUUAAAAAACAGUUUGAAACAUUAUUUCUGUGUAUAAAAUAAAAGGGGGCACCUGCCAGCCUCCUCACACCCUCCCCCCAAAAAUUUAACACCGAAUUUUCUUCUCUCUGACCACUGACGGCACAGAUGGGGCUGAAGGCUGUGCUUACUCUCUCUGGUUACUCUCACACACCUUCCUUUCCUGGAAUGUAAUGAAGCCCAGCAGGUGCAGACCAACAGCAACAGGUCUAUAGUCAAACCAAGUUAGAUUUCUUAACUGUUGCUGUGAGAUCAUCCACCAUAAAGGAUCACGAUAAAGUUCAGUCGGAAGGGAUAGGAAGGGUAUUCUCAGAGGGUUUGAACUUGGACUACAUGAGUCUAAGGAAAUCGGGGAAAAGAAUAUCAGCUCUGGGCUACCUCUUGAGCUAGCGUUUAUCCCAGAGGUUCUAGGAACACGGUGGAGUUAGGGUAGUCAUUGGUAAGAAAGCAAUAAUCACUCAAAAGCUGAGAGGACUGUGUGUCACGGGCCACGGGACUGAGCAGGAUCCUGAUAUCGUUUCCUUGGAACCUAUAAUACCAGGAAAAAUGUGGAGUGUAGUGGAUGAAAACCUGACCUACGAAGCUUUGCGUUUGGGUUGGAAAUUGGGUUGCUGUUCUCUUGUGCCCAAGUGGCCAUGUGGCUCAGUCUUCAAAAAGAGGACACUCAGAAAUAUGCUAUCAGACAAAUAGACGCUAACCUAUAAUGUGAAAGAACAAUGUUCCUCAGUACUAUAUUCUUGAUAUUAAUAAAAGCAGUUUUUAAGGGUCAAAUGCCAAUUUGCGUAGAGGAAUAGAAUUAUGGGGACUGUGGAAGAGGUUAGGUCCGGGGCGUGAAGUCAUUCCUAAGGGCUGGACAGGGCUGUUAUGGAGUUAGACUAUUGCUGAGAUUUUUCUCUGUGCCCCCGGUCUCCUGAGAGCCAGCAGUGUGUGUGUGUGGGGGGGGAAUUACACAUAAGGUGAACUAGAGAAAAACCAAUCACUCUUUCUGUGCAGGCAUGGAGCUUAGGCGUAGCAAGUUCUGCGUGUUUCUUGUGCCUGAUACCACCGUCUUGAGUCAUCUCCCUAACGGCAUCCUGAACAUUUGUAUGAUUAAGUAUUCAAAAACUGCCCAUUUCUUCAAAUAGAAUGGCUGGGUCCUGUGACAUCACUGAAGUGUAGUAACCACCCCAGGGAAGUGCAAUUAUGGACCAGAAUGAUCAGUUGUUUUCAUGAUUUUUUAAAAUAAAACGUCCAGCUGGUGACUAGUUUAUAGUUCAGGACAGGUUCAUAGCUGUAAGACGGCUAAUCCUGUCAUUCUCCUGAAUAAACCCCCUUCCUGCUCCUGCCCCUGCACGAGACCAAGGCUUCAGCAGACUUAGGUCAUUCUCCAAGUUAUAAUCCUGAUUGCUACUUAGAUCUUGACAGGGCUUCUCUUUUACUCCACAUAAGCAGGGUGCCAUUCCCUGGGAGCGUUGACCAGCUGGAAGUGCCCAGCAGGGAAUCCUCAUCCAUUUCUAGACAUUGGGUUUGGGAGCUAAGUUGAGAGGGAUUUUCUUGAGUUUGGUCUACGCGUACAGGUUUUCCCAAAUGAUAGCCACGAACCUGUUGCACCUGGCUGAAUUAGCUCCCAGGUAAGUGGUGAGGGUGAAUAUAGAAUAUAUUAAAACCCAAGAAGUGAACAAAGUAGACAGUGUCAGUGGAACCCAUAACCUACUCCCCUUGCAGGAUAAAGUCAACAGUUCAGGGCCUGGGUGAGCUCAGUAAGGGAGAGCAGCUUUGAAGGUUAGAAAACUCUUUCCCCAGUCUUUGAGCUUAAGUGACAUCUUCAGCUAUAUCUGUAUGCAUGACAUGUGGAAGGUUUUGUGAAAUCUGUGAUUUUUUCAUUUAGAGAAGGAUGGAGAUAUUAAUAAAAAACUGUAGUAAAAUUUUUGCCUAGUAUGAAGAAAUGUUAAUAUUGACUCUGGGAUUCUAUAUUAAGUAAGUCUUGUUUAAUGAUUUACCAUGAAUUAAAGUUUUUAUGAAUCAUGAAUUCCUGGAUGGAAGAAUGUUUCCUUCACUUCUAAGUGAUAAACUAUGCUUCCCAACUACGAUAAAGUUGUUCGAGUCAGUAAAAACUAGAGCUGCCCUUUGACCCAUGCAUAAACUGAUGGUGCUGACCGGCUCUUGGGUGAAAUGUGGCAAAGGAUGAUAAACCUCUACCUAUACAGUUACUGGAAGAUGGACCAGUAAAGAGUCAGGAUACUCUAUGGACUUAGAACUGAGGAUGGGGCUGGACACAGUGAAACAUCUGGCCUUGGCUGCUGCCAUCAGCUUUAUACUCAUCUAAGAUUGCAUGAAAUACAACCUUGCCCUUCAGCUCUGUCUGGAAAAGAAAGAUGGGCAUAUGCGUACUCUUGAUAGCCUUCAGGAGGCAUCAGUAAGAAGUCAACUGUUUUCAGUCACAUCCAUCCUAAGGAAAAGAAUGCUUUAUGUAUGGGAACAGUUUACUCUGAGACAGUAUUUUGGACAAUUAGAAAUGGGUAGUUAUGCCACUCUUCCGAUAGCCAAGAAACAGGCUUUCUUUGAGCUCAUGGAUGGUACUCUAAAGAAUUUGAAUCGGCUGGUUCAGAAGUCAGUGUGUGGUUAUGUAAAUAUGCUGCUGUCCAGGCUGAGUGAAAGCUAUGUGGCUGGAGCAGUGAUCUAAUCCUAGCAUCCGCAUGGGCAAGCUGAUAUAAAAAGCCCUUAGAAUAUUAUGUUUGUCAGAUUUAUUUAUACCUGGAUAUAUUACAUUCUUUACGUAAUUGCAAAAUAUUUAUAAGUGUCUUCAGGAUGAGGCUCUUUGCUAAAAAAAAAUUUAAAAGGAAUGGGGAAUGCUCUCCCCCUGCCCAAGGAAGGCAUGCAGUAGUGGGUAUGGAUGCUUUGAUAAAAUGUUGCAGAUUUUGGGGCACCCUCUGACUCUUGGUUUGGCUCAGGUCAUGAUCUCAGGGUCGUGGGAUUGAGCUCCUUGUGGGGCUCCAAGCCCAGAACAGGGGUCUGCUUAGGUUUCUCUCCCUCUCUCUUUCCCCGCCCCCUCUGGUCCUCCCCCCAUGUGCAGUGCCUUUGCGCAUGCUAAGUAAAUAAAUAAAAUCCUUUAAAAAAUGUCACAGACUUUAGAUAUUUGGCAAUUUAUAUGAAUUAAUCAAUUAAAUAAAGGUCAAAGCAAUUUAAACGUGUAUUUUAUGUGAUGCCAAAAAAUACAUUCUCUUUGAUUAUCUGACCCACUCUAUCCACCAAAAGUUAUCAUAGGUUUCAUAUAUUUAAUUAGAUAAUUGAGUAUGAUGUGAAGACUUGAUGCUACAAAAAUUCCUUGUGGUUUUUGUCAUUCCUGGGGUUUUGGGGAUUUUGUUGUUGUUUUUCAGAAGAUAGGUUUUCUGGAAUCUAUCUAAAAUGAGGACUUUUAAUUCCAACCAGUAGAUGGCAGAAUAAUAUCAGUCCCUAGAAAGUGGUUGCUCAGAGACUGUUACCAAGAAAAUAGAGGCAUGAAAUCUAUUAUUCAUGCAUUUGGUUAAGAACACUGCACCAGUUCUGCACUGUGAACAAUCACCUUUAAUGAACAAAAGCAAGAAUAUCUGUCUUUAACAAAGAAAUUAGAAAACUAUAAUCACCCCUAUUAAAAUUACCUACAAGACACGAUGACUUGUCACUACUAUAAUUUUGCCGGAAGUAUUAACAAAUGUUUCAAGUUAUGAUACAAAUAAUAUGAAACAUGGUUUUUAUACUGAGCAGAUAAUAUGAUUCUCUAGGGUGAAAACACGAGAGAAUCCACCCAAAAAUCUGUUACAAAUCAAUGAGACUUAAUGCUUCAUCCAAAAACUUAAGAAUCAAUGACGGUAAUGAUGACAGAAAACCAACAUGCUAAAAUCAUGUAUUUCCUAUUACUGCUGCAAUAAAGUUUCAAAUACAAUGUGAAAUCAGCAAUCUAGGGGCGCCUGGGUGGCUCAGUCGUUAAGUGUCUGCCUUCAGCUCAGGGCGUGAUCCCAGGGUCUUGGGAUUGAGCCCCACAUUGGGCUCCCUGCUCUGCUGGGAGCCUGCUUCUUCCUCUCCCACUCCCCGGGCUUGUGUUCCAUCUUUCACUGGCUGUCUCUCUCUCUGUCAAAUAAAUAAAUAAAAUCUUAAAGAAAUAAAUAAAAAAUAAAACAGCAAUCUAUAUGCCAAAGACAAUGUGAAGAAAAGGUCAUUGGAACUGAGGAAAGGGAUCCUAAGUGAUCCAUAUAAGAUUUUAUUAUAUGAUUUUAAAAAGCAUAAAAUUCAGUGAGAAAGUAAAAAUUAUUCAAAAAGUGGUGAUGGGACAAUUGGAUAAUAAUUUGAAAACAUUUUAGAUUUUAUGCUAGAAGUCUAGUAAAAAUUGAUAUUCAUAACAAUAAUAUAAAAUACCGGAAUAACUAUACCAUAUCAUGGUGGGAAAAAAUACACAAGAAAAUAUUUAAAAAUGACAAAGGAAAAAGUAAUUUCACUGCAUUACCAAAAAAAUUUUGCAUGUUAAGACAUAUUCUCAAACAAAAAAGAUGGGAAAAUACUUACUGUAAAUAGAGACUAAUACUAAUGUAAAAGGAAUUUUGAAAAUUUUAAAAAGUCAUGUUCAUUUCAAUCAAAAAGACGAAAAGCUAUUUGAACAAGAGAUAAGCAGUAAAUCCUGCCUUAGCAAGUUAAGAAUUGGCACUAAUAAAGCAAUAGGAUAAAGAACGAGAAAUGUGACACCAGUACUACAUUAAAAAAAAAAGUAAAAUUAUCACCAGAAGUUCAAGA
Ailuropoda melanoleuca (giant panda) is the source of this 6331-nucleotide long non-coding RNA. RefSeq lists it as uncharacterized. The transcript has 2 exons. The record is from RefSeq and is a predicted model, not a curated record. NCBI's taxonomy places the organism in Eukaryota, Metazoa, Chordata, Mammalia, Carnivora, Ursidae.